Molecule: long non-coding RNA, 261 nt
Organism: Sorghum bicolor (sorghum)
Lineage: Eukaryota; Viridiplantae; Streptophyta; Magnoliopsida; Poales; Poaceae
Exons: 3
Source: RefSeq, a predicted model, not a curated record
UGGAGAGAUCAAUACCCUCAGAGGAAACAAGAAUUGGAUGAUAGCACGUGAGGGUCUCUUAGAGGCUGAGAAGCUUGGAUUAUCAAAGGAGCAGCUCUCAAGAAUUCUGCCAAUUGUUGAUGCUACCUCUUCUGACUCUGGCGCAUUCGAUAAUGUUCUUGAGCUUCUUGUCCGAGGUGGGCGAAGCCUGCCAGAAGCUGUGAUGAUGAUGAUCCCUGAGGCGUGGCAAAAUGAUGGAAACAUGGAUCCUGAAAAGAAAGC